GACCUAUUGGUGCAGAUGGCAGCGCACCCACCAUAAUCUGAGAGCUUUUGGCUCGAAGAACUAUGUGGGAGGCCCUAGUUCGACUCUGGGAUGGGUCA
Non-coding RNA from Mycena rebaudengoi, 98 nucleotides. NCBI's taxonomy places the organism in Eukaryota, Fungi, Basidiomycota, Agaricomycetes, Agaricales, Mycenaceae. The record is from the annotation of a GenBank genome assembly.